GAUGAACGCUGGCGGCGUGCCUAAUACAUGCAAGUCGAGCGAACAGACGAGGAGCUUGCUCCUUUGACGUUAGCGGCGGACGGGUGAGUAACACGUGGGUAACCUACCUAUAAGACUGGGAUAACUUCGGGAAACCGGAGCUAAUACCGGAUAAUAUUUCGAACCGCAUGGUUCGAUAGUGAAAGAUGGCUUUGCUAUCACUUAUAGAUGGACCUGCGCCGUAUUAGCUAGUUGGUAGGGUAACGGCUUACCAAGGCAACGAUACGUAGCCGACCUGAGAGGGUGAUCGGCCACACUGGAACUGAGACACGGUCCAGACUCCUACGGGAGGCAGCAGUAGGGAAUCUUCCGCAAUGGGCGAAAGCCUGACGGAGCAACGCCGCGUGAGUGAUGAAGGUCUUCGGAUCGUAAAACUCUGUUAUUAGGGAAGAACAAACGUGUAAGUAACUGUGCACGUCUUGACGGUACCUAAUCAGAAAGCCACGGCUAACUACGUA
Molecule: ribosomal RNA, 497 nt
Filed under: uncultured bacterium
Lineage: Bacteria
Description: partial 16S ribosomal RNA
Rfam family: Bacterial small subunit ribosomal RNA
Source: RNAcentral